AGACACGCGUCUGUUUGCUUGCAGAUGUGCACACACUGUCUCCGGCUUCUUCUGUGGCUUGGUAGAAGCCCCAGCUUUUUAACUUAUUAAGCACAGCUCUUCCCUCUGUAGGACUGCAGGCAGGACAGUCCUCUUCCCGGGCUCACCGCAACAUUCAGUAGCUGCUUUGAAGGAACAGAAUAAGGUUGCCACAUGCCAGUCUGUCCUCCGAUCACUUCAGGGUUCCACUCACCGUGGGUUCAAGGCUUCUUUGAUUCUUUGUUUCCUUUAGUUUUCAUUCUCUCCUCUUCAGAACAAGAGUAGAUGGUUCGGUGUAUGCAAAUAUCACAGUUCCAGGUAACUUGAAGGAGCAGUUUGGAUUUAGGUAUUCAUUCUUACUUUUAUAGGACUGUAGAUAUCUCUUUAUGCAAAUAAGACUUACUAUUGUAUUAUAAGAGCAAUAACCAUGCACUGCUUCAAAUGACAUCAUUUACAUUUUUAUUUUUGCAAUAAGAAUAUAUUUAGGCAACAGAAUCAAUGCUGCUUUUUGAGAGGUAUUUUCUAAUUUCUAAUGUUGAUGGGUUCAAAGACUUGCUAUGAGUACAUGGGUCACAGACACCACCUCAUGCAAAGCAGAAAGGAAAUAAAUCAAGGAAUGAGAACGAGAGCCAACACCAUUCUUUCUUUCUUUUUUUUUUUUUUUGAGACAGAGUCUUACUCUGUUGCCCAGGCUGGAGUGAAGUGGUGCAAUCUUGGCUCACUGCAACCUCUGCCUCCCGGGUUCACACCAUUCUCCUGCCUCAGCCUCCCGAGUAGCUGGGACUACAGGCGCGUGCUACCAUGCCCAGCUAAUUUUUUGUAUUAUUAGUAGAGACAGGGUUUCAUCAUGUUGGCCAGGAUGGUCUCGAUCUCCUGACCUUGUGACCUCCUGACCUCGUGAUCUGCCUGCCUCGGCCUCCCAAAGUGCUGGGAUUACAGGCAUGAGCCACCGCGCCUGGCCGCGCCAACACCAUUCUGCCCAGUUGUCAAUUAAGACUUUCACUCUUAAGCAGAGUGAAGGGUAAAACCUAAAGGAUUUUUCUCACAGUUGUACUCUGAUUGUUUGUGGAAACCAAAGGAAAGAGUCAUUGGUUCUGAUGAAAGGUUAGAAAAGCUUUUGGGAGGAGAUGGCAUUGAACCCUGAUGAGUGGGUCAUUUGGGUAAACUAAAAAGUGGUGGUGGGGAAAGGAGGAGGGACGUAAAGGGGGAGCAGACCCCUUGGCCCACUGCCCGUGUCCCCUUGGCUUUUCACUGGUGCAAGCUGAACUUGCAUGCCGAAGAGUCCAUGUCCCUCCCGCCCA
This 1319-nucleotide long non-coding RNA is filed under the name Homo sapiens (human). RNAcentral describes it as "HSALNT0317408". The record is from RNAcentral. Lineage: Eukaryota; Metazoa; Chordata; Mammalia; Primates; Hominidae.